UUUUUUUUUUUUAAAUAAUAAACUUACCUUACAUGGGAUCUUCAUUUAUAGUCCUGUAUAAAAAUGAACCCAGCAUUUUCUCAAGGAAGCCUCUGGAUGUGAUCACACGUGCCAAGUGAAUUGCACGUGACCAAUACAAGACAGUAAAGUGGGACAUAAAUCGUUAGAUUCUCCCCACCUGAGCCGGAAAUCUUACCGACUGCUGGAAAUCUUAUAGACUAUUGAAGCUUUGUAAACAACUUCCUAACCCAACCCCGUCCAGCUCAAACCAAUCCCGCCACUUUAUAGGUGGGAAACUGAGCCUCCCUCAGAAGGAAGCGCUGUGUCAGUGGCUCAAACCUGGUUUGCUCAGAUCUCUUCCUCCCCCUCUCACCUCUGUGGCAAAAGUGGGUAAUGUCAGGGCUACUAGGAACCAUGCCAUCGAUGUGGACACUCUGCCGGUUGACUCGGGAGUUUGGGGGAGGGGACUCUUGGUGGAAGAGGAGAGAGAAGAGUAAAAGAAUUUAAGAAAUAAGUCUUGGGAAUUUUACUGUUCGAAUGAGGAUCUAUUGUAAGUAGAAUGGAAGGUCACCUCGGCCUUUAAAGCUGGAACAGGAGGUGUCCAGGGAUGAUCUGCUUUGGGUGGCCUCUUCCGGUUGCAGUACCCUGUCCCCACCAACGCUGAAAAAGUGCGAUCCAGUCUCCCAUCCCGCUGUGAUUGGAUCAUGGACACUUAUUUACUUAUUUCAAAAUGGAAGUGUUCUUGUUGGAUGGAAACAAAAGGAAAUUCCAAGGACACCACCUGGACGCUAAGGAAAACAUUGCAGCACUUGCCCGUUGAAGGAGGAAUUGAGAUCAUUACUGCUUUUAAUUGUCUUGGGAGCCAGUAUUUUCUUAAAAGUUUUUUUUUUUUUUUCUUCCCCCUCUUUUCCUAGCUGGACCUCUGGUGCUAUGGUCCUCAGUUCAUGGCUCAUCAUCCUGGGUCUGUGCCUGGUUCUCCCUCUCGAUGGAGAGAUUAAUAAAUUGAUUGAGUGCCUUUUACCCCCUUCUCACCCCUCAUGCCCCAUCACUCACAGGCCCCUUUCUUGUUUGUUGUAUGUGUUCUUGUCACAUGUGGACUGUUGUUUCAUAUGCCUAUUAUUUAUUUUUAUUUUUUACUUUGUACUAUUUCUUCAAUUGCAUCCGUUAUAUUAUGUUGCAUGGAAUCUAUUACUUCUAGUGCAACCUAGAACUCCACACGUUCUGUUAUCCAUUCUCCCGAUGAUGGCACAGAGAUUGCCUGGUCGGAAGGCUGUUUCACAGGGAAUAGGGUCCUCAAUCCAGUCCAGUCAAGUUUACAUAUAAAUUCAGUUCUUUGUGUUCCACCAACGUGGGGAACAAGGAAAAUUUGCCCCUGUCAUUAUUAGACAGCUAAGCGGCCUCUGCCUGCCCUUGAUUUGGUGGAGUAAAGGAAGGGGAAGAGAAUAGAACUGCUGAAUUCAUCUUUCUUUGCUCACUUAACACCUUCGAGAGGGGCGCCAUGCAUUUUAAACAAAUGGGCCAUUCCAGGAGAAUCUUUCAAGGUCAUUUCUCCAGGCUGAGCCCAUUCGAAAACACAGCUGGAAAUAUAGGUUAUGUCUUGAGUACUGUGAUAUUCAGGGUCAAGGACCAGGCAUUGCAAUAAUCCACAUAGCUGGUGAUGUCAACCAAGAGGAAUUUAUGCUGUCAACUGCCCAGACAAAGAUGCAUAUCAUCGCUGAAGCUUCUCAACACACUUCUCUCUCUUGCUUUGUUUGGGGAGGAAGGUCUUUCAAUGAGCAGGGACACUGACAAUUUCGCUUUUGAAAUUGGAUAUGGGAAAAUCAGGAUAAGCAAGUAAGUCUUCUCUUCCAUUGGAUACUUACUGAGCUAAAACUAUGAGAGACCAAAGGGGAUAAUGUUUUAUAAAUGAUGAGAGGUAUUUUAAGUGGCCAACAAUAUAAUUUUAAUGCAUUUAAUUUUUCAAACUAUGCCACAGUCUCCUAUGUGGUAGAAAGUGGUUUUGGCAUUUUGAAUGUGGUGUCCAUGUCUCCCAUAUGUUGGUUAUAAUUGAACCAAAAAUGGAUAAGGCAAUAGAGGGUGUGGGUGGAAGACAGAACUUAGUUUAAUGUAUUUGUUUUUAUUCCAAACACUGCAGCUGUGCACUUUUUAAGCAAUGAGAGACAGAUAGAUAAGGAGGGAGGGAGAAAGGGGAAAAGAGAAAGAAAGAAAGAAAGAAAGAAAGAAAGAAAGAAAGAAAGAAACCGAAAGUCCAUGAGAACUUCUGAAAUCUAACCCUUCUCAACACAGUAUAAAUACCUAGUGCUUCUUUGUUGACUGGUACUUCCUAUGCCUGAGUAUCAAGACUGUGUUGAUGAGUAACUUGCAUGAAUAAGAAGACUGAGGUUAAGAAAAAUGGACUCUGCCACUCAAAGCCAUGUGACCUUCAACAGCUGUUCUCCAGUGAGCUGGGCUCACCAAAGUCACCCUGGAGCCUGCAUUUGCUGAAGAGACCCAACUUGCCCCACAUCAAAGGCGCUAUCUUCUCCCCAUAAACCAUCUCUCUUUCCCAGCAUCUUUGCCUACUAAUGGCUCACUCACUACAUUUCCUUUGAAUCCAGACCUGGACCCAGACCCUUGCCGGCCAUUGAUCUCAGAGCCAAGUUCUGGUGGGGAAGGCAAUGAGGAGGACAGAAAUGUUGCCUCUCCUGGAUGAUGUAUGCAUGCAUGUGAAGCCUGGAACUAAAGAAGACACUAGAUCUUUCCUUGAUGACAUGGGACACUGGACUUUACAGCCUCCUCUGCCUCCACAUCCCUGCACCUGUCUUCCAACAUCUGAGGAUUCUACAAAUAUCUGGAGACGCCAACAGGCCUGCCACCCGGCCCACAGACUCUGGAGCAAUGAACACCCCCGGGGAAGCGGAGAUCUGAACUCUGCUUCCCCAACUGUGAACGGGGGUUUAGUUGGGGGUAGUUCAAGUCAGAGGAGACGAGAGUGCCUGGCAAGAAAAGACACAAUGAAAAGAGAAGAUAGUGGCAGGGACAUAGGGUAUGGGGGCAAAGAAGUCUGGAGAGGCGGCAGUCUGGGGCCUAAGUGGGGCAGUGGGAGGUGAGGGUGGGGGGUGCAUGGCCCCCUAGGCCAGCACAGGCGUUUGGGUUGUGGCCUGUGCCCGGUGGAGGCUCCUGACCAUUCUUAAGCAAGGAUGUAGCAUUCUGUAAUUUCCAAAGAAAAGGGCAGUUUUAAUGGUCAUAGAAGGAUGUUAUGGUUAUUAUAGAGAAUUGGAAAGAUACAGAAAAUAUCGAAAAAACAUAAAGAAGCAAAAAUGAGAAAACGCCAAUCUUGUGGCCU
Molecule: long non-coding RNA, 3325 nt
Organism: Herpailurus yagouaroundi (jaguarundi)
Lineage: Eukaryota; Metazoa; Chordata; Mammalia; Carnivora; Felidae
Exons: 5
Source: RefSeq, a predicted model, not a curated record